RNAcentral lists this ribosomal RNA (276 nucleotides) under uncultured bacterium. RNAcentral's name for it is "partial 16S ribosomal RNA". It matches the Rfam family "Bacterial small subunit ribosomal RNA", at positions 29 to 314 of the family's 1533-position model. The record is from RNAcentral.
AGCGAACGCUGGCGGCAGGCUUAACACAUGCAAGUCGAACGGGCGUAGCAAUACGUCAGUGGCAGACGGGUGAGUAACGCGUGGGAACCUGCCCAUCAGUGGGGGAUAACCGAGGGAAACCUCGGCUAAUACCGCAUACGCCGGUUAUCCUGAGAGGGAUGAUCGGGAAAGAUUUAUCGCUGAUGGAGGGGCCCGCGUCGGAUUAGCUUGUUGGUGGGGUAACGGCCUACCAAGGCGAUGAUCCGUAGCUGGUCUGAGAGGACGACCAGCCGGACU